AUUGAACGCUGGCGGCAGGCCUAACACAUGCAAGUCGAGCGGAUGAACGGAGCUUUUUCUUGUCUUCAGCGGCGGACGGGCGAGUAAUUCCUACGUUUCUGCCUGGCAGUGGGGGAUAACGUCCGUACACGGGCGCUAAUAUCGCAUACGUCCUUAGUUUGAAAGUGGGGGUUCUUCGGACCUCACGCUUCUAGAUGUGCCUAGGUCGGAUUAGCUAGUUGGUUAGGUAAAGGCCUACCAAGGCGACGAUCCGUAACUGGUCUGAGAGGAUGAUCAGUCACACUGGAACUGAGACACGGUCCAGACUCCUACGGGAGGCAGCAGUAGGGAAUAUUGGACAAUGGGCGAAAGCCUGAUCCAGCAAUGCCGCGUGAGUGAAGAAGGUCUUCGGAUUGUAAAGCACUGUAAGUUGGGAGGAAGGGAAGUAAGUUAAUACCUGGAUAUUUUGACGUUACCAAAAGAAUAAGCACCGGCUAACUUCGUG
Molecule: ribosomal RNA, 484 nt
Filed under: uncultured bacterium
Lineage: Bacteria
Description: partial 16S ribosomal RNA
Rfam family: Bacterial small subunit ribosomal RNA
Source: RNAcentral